This 713-nucleotide ribosomal RNA is filed under the name Bacillus sp. A08. Its description in RNAcentral is "bacterial SSU rRNA". It matches the Rfam family "Bacterial small subunit ribosomal RNA", at positions 51 to 746 of the family's 1533-position model. Lineage: Bacteria; Bacillati; Bacillota; Bacilli; Caryophanales; Bacillaceae. The record is from RNAcentral.
AUACAUGCAAGUCGAGCGGACAGAUGGGAGCUUGCUCCCUGAUGUUAGCGGCGGACGGGUGAGUAACACGUGGGUAACCUGCCUGUAAGACUGGGAUAACUCCGGGAAACCGGGGCUAAUACCGGAUGCUUGUUUGAACCGCAUGGUUCAAACAUAAAAGGUGGCUUCGGCUACCACUUACAGAUGGACCCGCGGCGCAUUAGCUAGUUGGUGAGGUAAUGGCUCACCAAGGCAACGAUGCGUAGCCGACCUGAGAGGGUGAUCGGCCACACUGGGACUGAGACACGGCCCAGACUCCUACGGGAGGCAGCAGUAGGGAAUCUUCCGCAAUGGACGAAAGUCUGACGGAGCAACGCCGCGUGAGUGAUGAAGGUUUUCGGAUCGUAAAGCUCUGUUGUUAGGGAAGAACAAGUGCCGUUCAAAUAGGGCGGCACCUUGACGGUACCUAACCAGAAAGCCACGGCUAACUACGUGCCAGCAGCCGCGGUAAUACGUAGGUGGCAAGCGUUGUCCGGAAUUAUUGGGCGUAAAGGGCUCGCAGGCGGUUUCUUAAGUCUGAUGUGAAAGCCCCCGGCUCAACCGGGGAGGGUCAUUGGAAACUGGGGAACUUGAGUGCAGAAGAGGAGAGUGGAAUUCCACGUGUAGCGGUGAAAUGCGUAGAGAUGUGGAGGAACACCAGUGGCGAAGGCGACUCUCUGGUCUGUAACUGACGC